AGAGUUUGAUCCUGGCUCAGAACGAACGCUGGCGGCAUGCCUAACACAUGCAAGUCGAACGAGCCCUUCGGGGUUAGUGGCGCACGGGUGCGUAACGCGUGGGAAUCUGCCCCUUGGUUCGGAAUAACAGCUAGAAAUGGCUGCUAAUACCGGAUGACGACGUAAGUCCAAAGAUUUAUCGCCGAGGGAUGAGCCCGCGUAGGAUUAGCUAGUUGGUGGGGUAAAGGCCUACCAAGGCGACGACGGGUAGCCGACCUGAGAGGGUGACCGGCCACACUGGGACUGAGACACGGCCCAGACUCCUACGGGAGGCAGCAGUGGGGAAUAUUGCACAAUGGGCGGAAGCCUGAUGCAGCGACGCCGCGUGAGGGAUGACGGCCUUCGGGUUGUAACCUCUUUCGACAGGGACGAAGCGCAAGUGACGGUACCUGUAGAAGAAGCACCGGCCAACUACGUGCCAGCAGCCGCGGUAAUACGUAGGGUGCGAGCGUUGUCCGGAAUUACUGGGCGUAAAGAGCUUGUAGGCGGUUUGUCGCGUCUUCUGUGAAAACUCACAGCUCAACUGUGAGCUUGCAGGGGAUACGGGCAGACUAGAGUACUUCAGGGGAGACUGGAAUUCCUGGUGUAGCGGUGAAAUGCGCAGAUAUCAGGAGGAACACCGGUGGCGAAGGCGGGUCUCUGGGAAGUAACUGACGCUGAGAAGCGAAAGCGUGGGUAGCGAACAGGAUUAGAUACCCUGGUAGUCAAUCGAA
This 752-nucleotide ribosomal RNA is filed under the name uncultured bacterium. Its description in RNAcentral is "bacterial SSU rRNA". It matches the Rfam family "Bacterial small subunit ribosomal RNA", at positions 8 to 804 of the family's 1533-position model. The record is from RNAcentral.